AGGUUACUGCUAUCGAGGUUCGACUAAGCCAUGCGAGUCGAAUGUAGCAAUACAUGGCGUACUGCUCAGUAACACGUGGACAACCUACCCUUAGGCCUGGGAUAACCCCGGGAAACUGGGAAUAAUACCGGAUAUCUCGCGAAUGCUGGAAUGCGUCGCGAUAGAAAGCUCCGGCGCCUAAGGAUGGGUCUGCGGCCUAUCAGGGUAGUAGUGGGUGUAACGUACCUACUAGCCUACGACGGGUACGGGUUGUGAGAGCAAGAGCCCGGAGAUGGAUUCUGAGACACGAAUCCAGGCCCUACGGGGUGCAGCAGGCGCGAAAACUUUACAAUGCUGGAAACAGCGAUAAGGGGACCUCGAGUGCCAGGAUACAAUCCUGGCUGUCGUAAUGCCUAAAAAGCAUUGCAUAGCAAGGGCCGGGCAAGACCGGUGCCAGCCGCCGCGGUAACACCGGCGGCUCGAGUGGUAACCGCUAUUAUUGGGUCUAAAGGGUCUGUAGCCGGCUGACUAAGUCUCUUGGGAAAUCUGACAGCUUAACUGUCAGGCUUUCAGGAGAUACUGAUCGGCUCGAGACCGGGAGAGGUGAGAGGUACCUCAGGGGUAGGGGUGAAAUCUUGUAAUCCUUGAGGGACCACCAGUGGCGAAGGCGUCUCACCAGAACGGAUCUGACGGCAAGGGACGAAAGCUAGGGGCACGAACCGGAUUAGAUACCCGGGUAGUCCUAGCCGUAAACGAUACUCGCUAGGUGUCGGCCACGGUGUGACCGUGGUCGGUGCCGUAGGGAAGCCGUGAAGCGAGCCACCUGGGAAGUACGGCCGCAAGGCUGAAACUUAA
RNAcentral lists this ribosomal RNA (834 nucleotides) under uncultured archaeon. RNAcentral's name for it is "bacterial SSU rRNA". It matches the Rfam family "Archaeal small subunit ribosomal RNA", at positions 21 to 859 of the family's 1478-position model. The record is from RNAcentral.